This 495-nucleotide ribosomal RNA is filed under the name uncultured bacterium. RNAcentral describes it as "partial 16S ribosomal RNA". It matches the Rfam family "Bacterial small subunit ribosomal RNA", at positions 28 to 507 of the family's 1533-position model. The record is from RNAcentral.
GACGAACGCUGGCGGCGUGCCUAAUACAUGCAAGUAGAACGCUGAAGGAGGAGCUUGCUCUUCUGGAUGAGUUGCGAACGGGUGAGUACCGCGUAGGUAACCUGCCUGGUAGCGGGGGAUAACUAUUGGAAACGAUAGCUAAUACCGCAUAACAGUAGAUGUUGCAUGACAUUUGCUUAAAAGGUGCAAUUGCAUCACUACCAGAUGGACCUGCGUUGUAUUAGCUAGUUGGUGGGGUAACGGCUCGCCAAGGCGACGAUACAUAGCCGACCUGCGAGGGUGUACGGCCACACUGAGACUGAGACCAGGCACAGACUCCAACGGGGGGAAGCAGUAGGGAAUCUUCGGCAAUGGGCGGAAGUCUGAACGAACAACGCGGCGAGAGUGAAGAGGGUGUUCGGAUCGUAAAGCUCUGUUGUAAGAGAGGAAUGAGUGUGCGAAUGGAAAGUUCACUCUGUGACGGUAUCUUACCAGAAAGGGACGGCUAACUACGUG